RNAcentral lists this transfer RNA (85 nucleotides) under Alphaproteobacteria bacterium. RNAcentral describes it as "tRNA-Leu". It matches the Rfam family "tRNA". From Rfam's summary of the family: Transfer RNA (tRNA) molecules are approximately 80 nucleotides in length. Their secondary structure includes four short double-helical elements and three loops (D, anti-codon, and T loops). The record is from RNAcentral. RNAcentral also lists the same sequence under 1 other name. Lineage: Bacteria; Pseudomonadati; Pseudomonadota; Alphaproteobacteria.
GCGGGCGUGGCGGAAUUGGUAGACGCGCUGGAUUUAGGUUCCAGUGACUUUAGUCGUGUGGGUUCAAGUCCCUCCGCCCGUACCA